Molecule: ribosomal RNA, 240 nt
Filed under: Paratanaisia confusa
Lineage: Eukaryota; Metazoa; Platyhelminthes; Trematoda; Plagiorchiida; Eucotylidae
Description: partial 28S ribosomal RNA
Rfam family: Eukaryotic large subunit ribosomal RNA
Source: RNAcentral
GGUGUUCAGGUCGUUCCGCAGAGACACUGCUCCACCCUAAGUCCAGCAAUGAGUACGGUGGUAUGGACAUGGCCCAUAGAGGGUGAAAGGCCCGUAGGGGUGGAGGUUCGGCAUGUCAGUGUCUCUCUGGGUAGACCUUGGAGUCGGGUUGUUUGUGAAUGCAGCCCAAAGUGGGUGGUAAACUCCAUCCAAGGCUAAAUACUUGCACGAGUCCGAUAGCGAACAAGUACCGUGAGGGAA